Molecule: long non-coding RNA, 417 nt
Organism: Cephus cinctus (wheat stem sawfly)
Lineage: Eukaryota; Metazoa; Arthropoda; Insecta; Hymenoptera; Cephidae
Exons: 3
Source: RefSeq, a predicted model, not a curated record
UCGUUAUCCUUCGAGAGUCGGCAGCCGUGCAGGGAUUUCCAAAAAAAAAAGAAAAAGAAAAGAAAUAAAUUCCACAAUUAACAGUAGCUUCGUGUAUCAACAGAGUGGACAGGAGAUUAAAAUAUAAAUAAUAGGAAAUUAUUGUACCUGCUCUAAGGUGACACCUUGCCAGCUAGGACCGUUGUAACAUUGAGGAAUAUUCGCCUGGGCUCCUCCGCACCAAUGACGAGCUCCUCUCCAGGUAGCACCACGCUGAACGUGUCGAAAUUCUGAGAGAGUCUACGCAACUCGUCAGUUCGGUCCAGUCUGCAUGCAGCCCGCAUUUCCAACCCGUUGAGUAACGCGAGAAGAGCCAAUUUUCAUUGCGGUUUGGACGGAAGCAAAAACAACGCUUGCGUCUUCUUUGACAAGAACAGG